GCUAUGGAGGCAUGAUCAUAACAGAUAAGGAGAAAUUGAUUUCAGAACAGAAUAACAGAUAAGUAAACAGAAAUCCUGAUUGACCUCAGAUGGCUUUGGUAAACAGAAUAAACACAAAUAAAUGAUGAUUGAAAUUGUUCAGAUUGCUGAUGAGGAGCAGAGGGGGAAGUAUAAGGGCUCCAUUUGUUUUCUAGUUUCUGCUUUUUUUCAGAACUAGAAAUUGAUUAACUGCAAUAGCAUGUACCUUAAAAUUUUCACGCUUAAUGUUAUAUAAGUUGUUAUGAUGACCUCAGAUUUGAUUUGUUGCAUUAUAUUUAUCAUUAAAUUGCUAGCAUCUAAUUUGCAUUUGAAAGACCUUCUUCUAUGUAUUGUUCUACAAACCAAUUGUUGCAGUAGUUUUGAGGUGUUCUUCCAGAGGUGUAGUGAUUUGUGGUGAUUAGAACUUUUAUCACAAUUAAUUUAAUGUCUCAUGUAAAAAAAAGUCUUACAAUUAUUGCAUCAAUCUAUAGAAGCUUUUAAGAAAUGCAGCGAAUUUGCUGUAGAUUAUGCCUGAAAUUUGAUGAGUUAAUUAGGCCUCCUAACCUGUUAUCUUACCUUUCAUAAUUAAUACCAUAAUCAUAUUCAUCUAAACUCAAUUAUACAGAAGACAUUGUGUGAAUGUUUUUUUUUUUUUUUAAAUGAAACAAAACAUGGGCACAGUAAGACAGCUGUACACUCCUCAGGGUGCAAAUUCUUUAGCAACUGAUGCUGUAAUUAAGACAGAAAUUCCAUGUCUCUAGUGUUUAGGGAAAUUGCUUUUGUAUUUAUUAGAAAUUCUGGACAGCGUUGACCUAAUAACUACAGCCUCUAAUUACAAGGUCCAUACAUAUUUAAAAGCAAAGUGUCUCUCCUGAGUUCAGGGUAUGAAAAAUGUGUAGUCUGGUUGUUGGGGUGGGUAAUGUUUGAGGCUGGGAUGAUUGAGUCAGACCCAGAGAAACAUUUGAUUCUAAAAUGACUGAAAUAUUCUUUUUUUUUUCUUUUCUUUUUCACUUGAAUAGAAAGCUCAACCACAUUGCUGAGAUUGAGCUUAACUCUCGGUAUUCAAGGUAUUAUCCUGCAGAUUAAGAAAGUAAUCCUAAAAAUCUAGAGAAAAGAUGUAGUACUCAGUGUUACUUCUGUAUCAAAUCUUCUCAUCUGUAAAUUCUAGACCAAUCUGUUCUUACUAAUUAAGUUAGUUUUUCAGGACAUAUAUUUGCAGGUGGAUUUAAUAUUAUUACUUGAAAUAGUAUUAAAGAUACAGAUAUAGAAACACUGAGAAACUCUCUUUAAUCCUGAGAGGACUCUGUUCUGUUUCCCUUUUAGGCAACGUUAAGCAUCUGUUAUUUCUGAAUCUUCUCUGAGACCGCGUUCUUCAUCAUGUGCAAACACUAUUACUCUGCUGAACUUUUUCAAAGGCAAGGCAAAAGCCAUAGACUAUCAAAUGAAGUAGAGAUGCGGGGAAGAUUUUUCAGAUUCAAACAUGAGUGUUUGGGGUAUGUGAAUCUACUAAAUUUACCUCUAGGUACAGGUGCAGUAAAAAUGAGUGAUUUAGUUUAUUUAUAGACCAGAUGGUGCAUGGCUUUGUACAAAAUUGUAAUGGAUGUAGCGGAUUCUUUUGUAUGCAAUGAACAAUUUCUAUGAAAAGUUAGCCAUUUAAACAGUGUCUAUUUUAUUAGGAUUUCUGGAUAUAUGGUAACUUGCUUGGAGAGACACAAUAGUCUGGCAAUAACAGCACAGCAGCAUCUGAUACCCUUAUAAGAGCUCUUAUAUUCAACAGACCCAGACAGUGGAAAGUGUGUGGAAGGUGAAAGUGAUUUUGGAAGGUGAAAUUUUUGGAGACCUUAGAGAAAUAAGAAUAUUGAAAUGAAACUGCAAAAUUUUCAAAAGCUAUGACAAACCAAAGUCUGUAUCUAACCUAGUAUGUAACUAGGUGCAUUUGGAAGGUACUUUGGCUCUUCUUGGAUCUCAAAAUCAGUGUUACAGCAAUACAACUACAAUAAGGAUAACUUCAGAUCUUCUUGGUACUGCUGUAAAUGCUAGAAUAUGUCAUACAUUUUUUAAACAUAGAUCUCAUAUUUGCUUUCUGAUCCUUAGCGUGUAACCUGGCACCUAAUCCAUAGAGAAGGUGAAGUCCAUAGCUUAGAUACAGUACAGCAGUCACUUGCAGAGGAGUUCUCAGGACUCUCUAGGAAGCUUUUAGGAAUGGUCCCUUGAAUUAUCUUCUGAGUUUGAGCUUUAUGUUUUUAUUUACUCUGUGUGUUUCCGUUUCCAGCUGUUUUGCACCCUUUGCCACCACAAAUUAGUGCAUGAUGACAUCAUUGCUGAUACUUGUAAAGUGUGUGAUGGAAAAACUAAUGUCAGUAGAGCUUAUCUGUACUGCAACAAA
Molecule: long non-coding RNA, 2404 nt
Organism: Centrocercus urophasianus (Greater sage-grouse)
Lineage: Eukaryota; Metazoa; Chordata; Aves; Galliformes; Phasianidae
Exons: 3
Source: RefSeq, a predicted model, not a curated record